RNAcentral lists this long non-coding RNA (304 nucleotides) under Elaeis guineensis (African oil palm). Its description in RNAcentral is "long non-coding RNA (EGUI_LNC004929)". Lineage: Eukaryota; Viridiplantae; Streptophyta; Magnoliopsida; Arecales; Arecaceae. The record is from RNAcentral.
CACUGGACUAUAACUUAUCAAAUGUAUUGAUCUUAGAUCACUGAUGAUCAGAUCUCCAAAAGAUUAAGAUCACUGAUGAUCUUAGAUCAUCGUGAUGAUCCCAUUUGGAUCACCAAAUGCUACCUAAGUAUCAAUAUCUUUUCCUCCCACUUUUUCCUCCAUAAAUUAUUGUUAUUGAUUUUUUUGUUUUGAAAUUUCUUGUGUUAUCCCGUUGGAAUCCGCCACUAUCUGCCAAGAUCCAUCACCUCCAUUGCUCGUUGGUUAGCCUCUCACCCUCAUGCUACCAUCUUUGGCUGAGAAAGCU